This 235-nucleotide ribosomal RNA is filed under the name uncultured bacterium. RNAcentral describes it as "partial 16S ribosomal RNA". It matches the Rfam family "Bacterial small subunit ribosomal RNA", at positions 1265 to 1500 of the family's 1533-position model. The record is from RNAcentral.
GAGCAAAUCCCUAAAAGCCAUCCCAGUUCGGAUUGCAGGCUGAAACCCGCCUGUAUGAAGUUGGAAUUGCUAGUAAUCGCGGAUCAGCAUGCCGCGGUGAAUACGUUCCCGGGCCUUGUACACACCGCCCGUCACACCAUGAGAGUCGGGAACACCCGAAGUCCGUAGUCUAACCGCAAGGAGGGCGCGGCCGAAGGUGGGUCCGGUAAUUGGGGUGAAGUCGUAACAAGGUAUC